Molecule: long non-coding RNA, 660 nt
Filed under: Bos taurus (domestic cattle)
Lineage: Eukaryota; Metazoa; Chordata; Mammalia; Artiodactyla; Bovidae
Description: long non-coding RNA NONBTAT024706
Source: RNAcentral
GGAUAGUUACUCAAGUUUUGCAGUUCAGCUUUAAGGUUUUAUAGAUUUUUAACUGGUCCAACAUAUUCAGAAACAUUGUUUUGAAUCUGUGUAACCAAGGCAUUAAUUUGUGUUUCCCAAAGGGUUUUUGAGUGUGAGGGCAGCUGACCCUGGGCAGGGGGAGGUCUAAAUAUUCUCUGAAUUCCCAUUUUCUCGCUCACUGUUGAAUGACAGUUCCUGUCACUACUUAAAUUUUGAUCUUUCCCAAAGGUGUCAAUUUACAAAAAGGCCAGCUAAUUGCAGAAAUCCUGACCCCAGAAAGAAAAAUGAAAUUCAAACUGAGAGCCUGUCACAGGCUGUCAGGAUGGUCAAGGUUCUUAAAUAUCGGCCAUUUGGUGCAAUUUUUUUUAAAGUUUUUAUGUUAUUCCGUGGAGUCAUAAAGAGGCAAUAAACUCUCUAAGAACUAUUUUAUAAGUAUCCCAGACCUUACGAGAAAGAAAAAAAAGAAUAUUAGUCCUCAAUAGCUAAAAGAGUUGCAGCUAGAUUCUUGGAGAAAAUGGAGAAAAGUGGACAGAUAAGGCAAUUGAAUCAGUCAAAGAGCAGUUGACAUCUCCUAGGGAACAAUGAAAACAUCAGGCUAUUAGAAAAUGGUUUCAGUUGGUCUUGUGUUCUUUGCUUUUC